UNUGACUUGAGUGCAGAAGGGGAGAGUGGAAUUCCAUGUGUAGCGGUGAAAUGCGUAGAUAUAUGGAGGAACACCAGUGGCGAAAGCGGCUCUCUGNUCUGUCGCUGACGCUGAGGCUNGAAAGCGUGGGUAGCGAACAGGAUUAGAUACCCUGGUAGUNCACGCCGUAAACGAUGAGUGCUAGGUGUUAGGCCCUUUCCGGGGCUUAGUGCCGGAGCUAACGCAAUAAGCACUCCGCCUGGGGAGUACGACCGCAAGGUUGAAACUCAAAGGAAUUGACGGGGGCCCGCACAAGCGGUGGAGCAUGUGGUUUAAUUCGAAGCAACGCGAAGAACCUUACCAGGUCUUGACAUCCCGAUGCUAUUCUUAGAGAUAGGAAGUUACUUCGGUACAUCGGAGACAGGUGGUGCAUGGUUGUCGUCAGCUCGUGUCGUGAGAUGUUGGGUUAANNNNNNCNACGAGCGCAACCCUUAUUGUUAGUUGCCAUCAUCAAGUUGGGCACUCUAGCGAGACUGCCGGUAAUAAACCGGAGGAAGGUGGGGAUGACGUCAAAUCAUCAUGCCCCUUAUGACCUGGGCUACACACGUGCUACAAUGGUCGGUACAACGAGUUGCGAGCCGGUGACGGCAAGCUAAUCUCUGAAAGCCGAUCUCAGUUCGGAUUGGAGGCUGCAACUCGCCUCCAUGAAGUCGGAAUCGCUAGUAAUCGCGGAUCAGCACGCCGCGGUGAAUACGUUCCCGGGCCUUG
This 747-nucleotide ribosomal RNA is filed under the name uncultured bacterium. Its description in RNAcentral is "bacterial SSU rRNA". It matches the Rfam family "Bacterial small subunit ribosomal RNA", at positions 636 to 1383 of the family's 1533-position model. The record is from RNAcentral.